UUAGCCUCAGAGGCAGGCCCUUGGAAAGGCCUCGCCAGCCCUGGCCCCAGGGAGAGGAGGCUAAGGAUUUGGUCUGGAAGGAGGCAGUCAAGGGGGUGGCUCAUAGGGAAGAAUUCUGGAGGGUCGGUGGCCCUUGAAGAGCCAGAGAGGAAGCCCCGGGAGGGGUUGCUGUGUAAAGGGAGUGGGGAGGACUCUGCAGGGGAUUGGGCCCAGGAAGGGGGGGUGGCGUUUGUCCUGCGGUUUGGCUUGGCCUUUGGCAGAGUCAAAGUGCAGAAGAAGAUCUCCCGUUGGGCCCCUUUUCAUUCGUUGGACAUUAUUGGUUUGGGACACUGGGCGCCACGGAUGGGGGCCGGACCGGAGAGCGACCUGGCCGGAGAUCAGCAUCACCACUCCAGGCCGCCGAGGCCCGAAGAUGGACUUGGGUGGAGGCACUUGCAAUGCUGGGCCUUGCCAGGAGGGACGAUAUUUAUCCUAGUGUGGGUGAUGCUCUUCUUGCAAUAGAAAUGCCGAAUGAUUUUAGGAAUCCUCCCCAGCUUUUUCCUUGGCGAUAUAAUGGCGUCUCAGUGAGUCCCACAGUGUGGAGUUACUCCAGAUUUACAGCCAGGCAGCUAAGAGAAGAAUCCAUUCCUCUGUGUCCUGUAUCCGC
This is a long non-coding RNA of Mauremys reevesii (Reeves's turtle), 646 nucleotides long. RefSeq lists it as uncharacterized. Lineage: Eukaryota; Metazoa; Chordata; Testudines; Geoemydidae. The record is from RefSeq and is a predicted model, not a curated record. The transcript has 3 exons.